GUGAGGAAUAUUGGUCAAUGGGCGAGAGCCUGAACCAGCCAAGUCGCGUGAAGGAAGAAGGAUCUAUGGUUCGUAAACUUCUUUUGCAGGGGAAUAAAGUGCAGGACGUGUCCUGUUUUGUAUGUACCCUGAGAAUAAGGAUCGGCUAACUCCGUGCCAGCAGCCGCGGUAAUACGGAGGAUCCGAGCGUUAUCCGGAUUUAUUGGGUUUAAAGGGUGCGUAGGUGGUUUGAUAAGUCAGCGGUGAAAGUUUGCAGCUUAACUGUAAAAAUGCCGUUGAAACUGUCGGACUUGAGUGUAAAUGAGGUAGGCGGAAUGCGUGGUGUAGCGGUGAAAUGCAUAGAUAUCACGCAGAACUCCGAUUGCGAAGGCAGCUUACUAAGCUACAACUGACACUGAAGCACGAAAGCGUGGGGAUCAAACAGGAUUAGAUACCCUUGUAGUC
Molecule: ribosomal RNA, 444 nt
Filed under: uncultured bacterium
Lineage: Bacteria
Description: partial 16S ribosomal RNA
Rfam family: Bacterial small subunit ribosomal RNA
Source: RNAcentral